RNAcentral lists this transfer RNA (82 nucleotides) under Patescibacteria group bacterium. RNAcentral describes it as "tRNA-Leu". It matches the Rfam family "tRNA". From Rfam's summary of the family: Transfer RNA (tRNA) molecules are approximately 80 nucleotides in length. Their secondary structure includes four short double-helical elements and three loops (D, anti-codon, and T loops). Further hydrogen bonds mediate the characteristic L-shaped molecular structure. tRNAs have two regions of fundamental functional importance: the anti-codon, which is responsible for specific mRNA codon recognition, and the 3' end, to which the tRNAs corresponding amino acid is attached (by aminoacyl-tRNA synthetases). tRNAs cope with the degeneracy of the genetic code in two manners: having more than one tRNA (with a specific anti-codon) for a particular amino acid; and 'wobble' base-pairing, i.e. permitting non-standard base-pairing at the 3rd anti-codon position. The record is from RNAcentral.
GCCGCGGUGGCGGAAUUGGUUUACGCGCACGACUUAAAAUCGUGUCCCUUAUGGGAUGUGGGUUCGAGUCCCACCCGCGGCA